This is a long non-coding RNA of Cotesia glomerata, 465 nucleotides long. RefSeq lists it as uncharacterized. Lineage: Eukaryota; Metazoa; Arthropoda; Insecta; Hymenoptera; Braconidae. The transcript is spliced from 3 exons. The record is from RefSeq and is a predicted model, not a curated record.
AGAAAUUCUCAUGAUGAGCGUGAUAUGUGAUCACCCGAUUUCGCAAAUGCUUGUAUCAAGGUCUAGCCGCCACGUAGUAUUGGUUGUUGCACCAAUAAUCGAUCAGCUUUUGGAGAAAAAAGGCGUCAGAGGCUCCGAAAAGUAUGAUUUUGCUCUUCGAACAACAUACAUAAUCAACAAUAAAUCCUAUAACGACGUAUUGUAAGUAUAAACUUCAUUUAUAUUUCCAAAGUGGAUCAUUUCUUAGCGACCUAACACUUUUUAAUACUUCUUUUUAAUUUCCAGAAUACAAAAAAUGUCGAGCUCAUCUCAGUCCAGACAUCCUUUCAUAUCUAUCCAGCGAAUUGGUACAAACAAAUGGAUUAUCGUGUACGACGAUCACUUGUUACAACACUAUUUACUGGCAAUUUUUAUCAAAAGCGCGCAAACAGAUUAAUAAAAGAUCAAAAUCACAGUUGGAUUUAG